RNAcentral lists this ribosomal RNA (119 nucleotides) under Pteropus alecto (black flying fox). The record is from RNAcentral. Lineage: Eukaryota; Metazoa; Chordata; Mammalia; Chiroptera; Pteropodidae.
GUCUACAGCCAUGCCACCCUGAACAAGCCCGAUCUUGUCUGAUCUCGGAAGCUAUGCAGGGUUGGGCCUGGUUAGUACUUGGAUGGGAGACCACCUAGGAAGACCAAGUGCAGUAGACG